RNAcentral lists this long non-coding RNA (2161 nucleotides) under Homo sapiens (human). RNAcentral's name for it is "HSALNT0301909". The record is from RNAcentral. Lineage: Eukaryota; Metazoa; Chordata; Mammalia; Primates; Hominidae.
GUUAUUAGAGAUGAUGGAGGUUAAAAGGAUGCUGCUUAACAAAGAUAAAAGCUCACUUAGACUAGUAAUCUUUUUUUCUUUUUAAAGAAACAUAGGAUUACAGAAAUAUUUAAUGAAUUAAUAAGGUACUUCUCAACACAUUUUUUUCAUUGCCAACUAGUUUUUCCAGGUUAUGUACAUAAUUGAAAAAGUGUUGUGUUGCGUGUUAUGCUUUGAUGCAGUCUUGUUUUGUAAUCCAUUGCUUUCAAAUUUCUAUCAUCAUCUUCUAAUUAUCUUAAAUUUGCACUGUGCUACUAGAAUAGAAUGAUGGUAUUAUUACUAUUAUUACUGGCAGCAGAAUUGAAACCUGGAGUAUAAGUGGUUUGCAGACCAUUCAUAGAUUCAUGUAACCGUAGAGAUUCAUGGUUGAGUAGUUGAGCACCUGACUUCUAUGGGAAAAGCAGCGCUCUUCAAGUUACUGCCUAAUUAACAAACACACUUCAUGGAUUGAGGAUUUAAAGGGGAAGAAUGGUCAUGCUUAGUACAAUUGAAUGCAUAUUUGCUACUAAUUACAUAUACCUCACAUUUUCUCUUAGAGACCAACUGCUUUAAAAAUAUUUUAUUAAAUGUUUUUGUUACCCUGACAGAGAUACAUUCCUUUAAGGGUGUUUUCAGCAAAACAUUCAAGUUUUCAGGAAGUAUUAUCUUUCUUUCCUUUUACCCCUUUCCCAUUUCCAUGAAAUUAAAAGGAAAUGCAUAGCCAAGUGUUUUUUCCCAGAAGAAAAUAAUAAGAAAUAUGCUGAUUUUACAGAACAGUAUGAACAGUUAUAAGGGUCUAUGUAAAAGGCAGCGUGUGUUCAUUCUCCAUGCAUACUAUUAGUAAAAAUGAAUGGACUUUCUCCUCAUCUGUUUUUAUUUAGAGCAGGACCUUCUUGCAUUGAAUUUCCUGUGUCAGCUGUGUUCUAAUUCUGUAAAGCCUUUGGUUAAGGAACAGCUCUGACUCUAUAUCCCUAUCUUUUCCUUUCCCAUGUCUUAAUUUUGAGUUCUUAUCACUCUGAUAAUAAGCAGACAUUUCUGAAAAUCAGAAAUCCUGCAGUUCCACUUUAGUUUUUCUUUCUCUUCCACUACCUUUCCUCUCUUAGAACAGUAAAUAUGUCAGAUGGGAACCUAAAGUCAACCUCUGUGCUGUCUUGCUCUGACUUAAAUGCUCUCAUCCAAGUAGGUGGCAUUUCUCAUGAGGGGCCAGACAGAGUUAUGGAACACCACAAGCAGGGUAGCCUUCGGAUUUGACUUGAGAAAUUAGGAAGAAUCUGGUGGUCCUGACUAAGAGUGCCAGUGAUAAAAAUCCAGAAAAAAAUAGAGGUGAUGCUAACUUGUAUGUUUUGGAUUUUGUAACUUUGUUCUUGACAUGUUAUAACUCUGUAAAACGGAGCUAUAAAAUAGAUUAGACAGUUUACAUAUUUUUUAAAAUCUGAAUGAGUUCAUAUAGUUCAGCUAAAGAUGAAACACUGAUAAAAUUCAGUCAGUAUCACUAUUGAUUUGACAACAUUUCUCCUGCUCCUCUUUUGUCUGCUGACUCCUGCCAGCAAAAUAAAGUAGAUUUACUAGUACACUAUAAUCUUUAGAGUUCUUACAAGGCACAAACAAGUGAGGAAAAUCCUGGAAGCUUAGAUUAGAUUGUAAAUAUGAAAUAUUGCAAACUGAUAGCUUAAGGCUGGCACCAAAGGGUUUAAGAAUUGAAUGUUCAUAUCACCCUCUACUAAAUAUGUAGGACACUUACCGUGAGACUGGGGAUUAGGGAUUCACAACAUUAUAAAGGGUAAAAAAAAAAUCCUUUCUAUACAGCCAACUAUUGAUCUCUACAAAUUGUCCGUAUAGCCUCUCUGUUAAAUACGCCUAUAAAUAGGAUCAACUUUGAAAUAGAAAUAUUUUAGGUUAAGCUUCAGGCCAUCCCUGUGAACUUUAUUUACACACACACACUCAAAUAUAUGUAUAAAAACCUGCAAAAAAUAUAUAGCCACAUUUGUGUAAAUAUGUAUACACACAUAUAUACGUAUGUAUUUAUAUACACAUUUCUAAGACAGUGUGAUAGGUGAACACUUACGUUUCCUAAACUUUAGCUUCAUUAUGUUAUCCUUUGUUCCCUAGAUUCACUAAAUAUUUCACAGCAGGCUCAAGGUCU